UGGGGAAUAUUGCACAAUGGGCGCAAGCCUGAUGCAGCCAUGCCGCGUGUAUGAAGAAGGCCUUCGGGUUGUAAAGUACUUUCAGCGGGGAGGAAGGGAGUAAAGUUAAUACCUUUGCUCAUUGACGUUACCCGCAGAAGAAGCACCGGCUAACUCCGUGCCAGCAGCCGCGGUAAUACGGAGGGUGCAAGCGUUAAUCGGAAUUACUGGGCGUAAAGCGCACGCAGGCGGUUUGUUAAGUCAGAUGUGAAAUCCCCGGGCUCAACCUGGGAACUGCAGCUGAUACUGGCAAGCUUGAGUCUCGUAGAGGGGGGUAGAAUUCCAGGUGUAGCGGUGAAAAGCGUAGAGAUCUGGAGGAAUACCGGUGGCGAAGGCGGCCCCCUGGACGAAGACUGAAGCUCAGGUGCGAAAGCGUGGGGAGCAAACAGG
This 429-nucleotide ribosomal RNA is filed under the name Fusobacteriota bacterium. RNAcentral describes it as "Fusobacteria bacterium partial 16S ribosomal RNA". It matches the Rfam family "Bacterial small subunit ribosomal RNA", at positions 355 to 776 of the family's 1533-position model. The record is from RNAcentral. Lineage: Bacteria; Fusobacteriati; Fusobacteriota.